RNAcentral lists this ribosomal RNA (460 nucleotides) under uncultured bacterium. Its description in RNAcentral is "partial 16S ribosomal RNA". It matches the Rfam family "Bacterial small subunit ribosomal RNA", at positions 338 to 795 of the family's 1533-position model. The record is from RNAcentral.
CCUACGGGAGGCAGCAGUGAGGAAUAUUGGUCAAUGGCCGGAAGGCUGAACCAGCCAUGCCGCGUGAAGGUCAGUGCCCUAUGGGCGUUAAACUUCUUUUGUGCGGGAGCAAUAAUGGUCACGUGUGGCCAGACGAGAGUACCGUACGAAUAAGCAUCGGCUAACUCCGUGCCAGCAGCCGCGGUAAUACAGGGGAUGCAAGCGUUAUCCGGAUUUAUUGGGUUUAAAGGGGGCGUAGGCUGUGAGGUAAGUCAGCGGGGAAAUGCCCCCGCUCAACGGGGUGAAGUGCCAUUGAUACUGCCUUGCUGGAAUGCGGAUGCCGUGGGAGGAAUGUGUGGUGUAGCGGUGAAAUGCAUAGAUAUCACACAGAACACCGAUUGCGAAGGCAUCUCACGAAUCCGCGAUUGACGCUGAUGCACGAAAGCGUGGGUAUCAAACAGGAUUAGAUACCCGAGUAGUC